UGGGGAAUAUUGCACAAUGGAGGAAACUCUGAUGCAGCGACGCCGCGUGAGUGAAGAAGUAAUUCGUUAUGUAAAGCUCUAUCAGCAGGGAAGAUAGUGACGGUACCUGACUAAGAAGCUCCGGCUAAAUACGUGCCAGCAGCCGCGGUAAUACGUAUGGAGCAAGCGUUAUCCGGAUUUACUGGGUGUAAAGGGAGUGUAGGUGGCCAUGCAAGUCAGAAGUGAAAAUCCGGGGCUCAACCCCGGAACUGCUUUUGAAACUGUAAGGCUGGAGUGCAGGAGGGGUGAGUGGAAUUCCUAGUGUAGCGGUGAAAUGCGUAGAUAUUAGGAGGAACACCAGUGGCGAAGGCGGCUCACUGGACUGUAACUGACACUGAGGCUCGAAAGCGUGGGGAGCAAACAGG
Molecule: ribosomal RNA, 404 nt
Filed under: uncultured bacterium
Lineage: Bacteria
Also listed under: 1 other name
Description: bacterial SSU rRNA
Rfam family: Bacterial small subunit ribosomal RNA
Source: RNAcentral